RNAcentral lists this ribosomal RNA (403 nucleotides) under uncultured bacterium. Its description in RNAcentral is "partial 16S ribosomal RNA". It matches the Rfam family "Bacterial small subunit ribosomal RNA", at positions 28 to 526 of the family's 1533-position model. The record is from RNAcentral.
GACGAACGCUGGCGGCGUGCCUAAUACAUGCAAGUCGAACGCAGUGGGGACGGGUGCGUAACACGUGGGUAACCUCCCAUCAGAGGGGAGAACACUUGGAAAAAGGUGCUAAACCGAUACUGAUGGAUGGACCCGCAGUGCAUUAGCUAGUUGGUGAGGUAACGGCUCACCAAGGCCACGAUGCAUAGCCGACCUGAGAGGGUGAUCGGCCACACUGGGACUGAGACACGGCCCAGACUCCUACGGGAGGCAGCAGUAGGGAAUCUUGGGCAAUGGGCGAAAGCCUGACCGAGCAACGCCGCGUGAGUGAAGAAGGUUGUCGGAUCGUAAAGCUCUGUUGUUAGAGAGGCGUUAUCUAACCAGGAAGCCACGGCUAACUACGUGCCAGCAGCCGCGGUAAUAC